RNAcentral lists this ribosomal RNA (524 nucleotides) under uncultured bacterium. Its description in RNAcentral is "partial 16S ribosomal RNA". It matches the Rfam family "Bacterial small subunit ribosomal RNA", at positions 28 to 523 of the family's 1533-position model. The record is from RNAcentral.
GACGAACGCUGGCGGCGUGCCUAAUACAUGCAAGUCGAACGAUGCUGUUUUAACUGGUGCUUGCACCGACUUAAACAACUGAGUGGCGAACGGGUGAGUAACACGUGGGUAACCUGCCCCAAAGCGGGGGCUAACAUUUGGAAACAGAUGCUAAUACCGCAUAACCACAGAAACCACAUGGUUUCUGUGUCAAAGAUGGUUUCGGCUAUCACUUUGGGAUGGACCAGCGGCGUAUUAGCUAGUUGGUAAGGUAAUGGCUUAACAAGGCAAUGAUACGUAGCCGAACUGAGAGGUUGAUCGGCCACAUUGGGACUGAGACACGGCCCAAACUCCUACGGGAGGCAGCAGUAGGGAAUCUUCCACAAUGGACGAAAGUCUGAUGGAGCAACGCCGCGUGAGUGAAGAAGGUUUUCGGAUCGUAAAACUCUGUUGUCAGAGAAGAACGUGUGCGAGAGUAACUGUUCGUGCAGUGACGGUAUCUGGCCAGAAAGCCACGGCUAACUACGUGCCAGCCGCCGCAGUAA